CCUACGGGAGGCAGCAGUGGGGAAUAUUGCACAAUGGGGGAAACCCUGAUGCAGCGACGCCGCGUGAGUGAAGAAGUAUUUCGGUAUGUAAAGCUCUAUCAGCAGGGAAGAAACCCACCCUCCGGGGUGGCUGACGGUACCUGACUAAGAAGCCCCGGCUAACUACGUGCCAGCAGCCGCGGUAAUACGUAGGGGGCAAGCCUUAUCCGGAUUUACAGGGUGUAAAGGGAGCGUAGGUGGCAAGGCAAGUCAGAUGUGAAAACCCGGGGACCAACCCCGGGAGUGCAUUUGAAACUGUCUGGCUAGAGUGCAGGAGAGGUAAGUGGAAGUCCUAGUGUAGCGGUGAAAUGCAUAGAUAUUAGGAGGAACACCAGUGGCGAAGGCGGCUUACUGGACUGUAACUGACACUGAGGCUCGAAAGCGUGGGGAGCAAACAGGAUUAGAUACCCUUGUAGUC
RNAcentral lists this ribosomal RNA (457 nucleotides) under uncultured bacterium. Its description in RNAcentral is "partial 16S ribosomal RNA". It matches the Rfam family "Bacterial small subunit ribosomal RNA", at positions 338 to 795 of the family's 1533-position model. The record is from RNAcentral.